CCCUUAGAUAUCCUAGGCUGCACGCGUGCUACAAUGAGAGAGACAAAGAGUUUGAGCUGAGACUAGCGUCCCGGCAAAUCUGUAAACUCUCUCGUAGUAAGGAUUGAAGAUUGCAAUUAUUCUUCAUGAAUCCGGAAUUACUUGUAGGCGUGACUCAUUAUGUCACACCGAAUAUGUCCCUGCUUUUUGUACACACCGCCCGUCGCUUCAACCGACGAACAUGUUGGCGAUUGGGGAAGAGUGGAGAAUGACGGGGGGGCAACCCCUCUGAGUUUUCUGCAAAUCCUUGUAAGUCUGUGUGUUUGGAGGAUGGAGAAGUCGUAACA
Molecule: ribosomal RNA, 326 nt
Filed under: uncultured eukaryote
Lineage: Eukaryota
Description: partial 18S ribosomal RNA
Rfam family: Eukaryotic small subunit ribosomal RNA
Source: RNAcentral